GACGAACGCUGGCGGCGUGCUUAACACAUGCAAGUCGAACGGAAAGGCCUUUUCGGAGGUACUCGAGUGGCGAACGGGUGAGUAACACGUGGGUGAUCUGCCCUGCACUCUGGGAUAAGCCUGGGAAACUGGGUCUAAUACCGGAUAGGACCGCACUUUAGUGUGUGUGGUGGAAAGUUUUUUCGGUGUAGGAUGAGCCCGCGGCCUAUCAGCUUGUUGGUGGGGUAAUGGCCUACCAAGGCGGCGACGGGUAGCCGGACUGAGAGGUUGGUCGGCCACAUUGGGACUGAGAUACGGCCCAGACUCCUACGGGAGGCAGCAGUGGGGAAUAUUGCACAAUGGGCGCAAGCCUGAUGCAGCGACGCCGCGUGGGGGAUGACGGCCUUCGGGUUGUAAACUCCUUUCGCCAGGGACGAAGCGUCUUGUGACGGUACCUGGAGAAGAAGCACCGGCUAACUACGUG
This 463-nucleotide ribosomal RNA is filed under the name uncultured bacterium. RNAcentral's name for it is "partial 16S ribosomal RNA". It matches the Rfam family "Bacterial small subunit ribosomal RNA", at positions 28 to 507 of the family's 1533-position model. The record is from RNAcentral.